CCAGAUCUUGUGAGCCAACCCAAACCUGGCUGGGCUCAGAGAUGGAUGAUAUGUUAUCCGGGAGCUGGGCCCUGUUCCUGUCUGAAUGGAUUCAGGAAAUGCAGGUGUACCAUUGACGAGGUUCCCGCUCAAGGUUAUGAGGCUGUAAUGAGAACACAUCCGAAUCCCCCCCAGGAGAGGCUGCCAAGAUCCUGGAGGAGGGGGAAAGAGUGUCUGGAGAAGGAGGUGGCUGUGACCGAGAUAAGCUCCAGCCUUCCACAGCUGUCAAUCAGGGAUUUAGAGGGACUUAGAUUACCAGCUGACUGCUUCUAGACAUCUUCAUCCCUCUCCUCUAUCCAGUCUCCAUCAAUGCCUCCUCCUCUCGGAAGCCUUCCUGAAGUCCAUCAGGCAGACAUGGGCACUUUUUAUAGGAAUGAAUUCUACUUGAGACCAAAGCCCUUGAUUUCUUCACUUGGCAUUCUCAGUGCCUGGCAAAGCGCCUGAUGCAAGAUUUUUGAGCAGAGAGCCAAGCAGCAAGGCUGAACACGCAUGAACACAGUUGACUGCUGUCACCAAAUGCAGCUUGCAACGAACUUAAUUUGAAGCAUAUUUCACAAUGUUCAGAGUUCUUCUUGUGCUGCAGAGCAGUUAGUGUAAAUGGUAAACAGUCACGUGAAAGGUGGAGUCACAUUCACCUUGUCAAACCAGGACUUUUCUCUUGUCCUUCUUUCUUCAGUAUCAUUUGUAUCAGGGUCAAUAAUUUACCUUUAACUUGUUCUAUAUAAUCAAGACACAGGUAUGGACACACAUACAUACACACACAAACACACGCACACGAAAAUGGUGACCGAGUCAACUCAAAAGCUAACACAUCCUGUGCCCCAGACCCAAAUCCUCUUCUCUGCAUGACUCAAAUCUCUGCUCCUCUCCCUCCAGCUCAGCCCUCUCCACAGUCUGCUCCUGUGGUCCUUCGGUCUCGGGAAUACCUGAUCUGUACAUACCUGGUUCUCCCCCCCAGGCUGAUCGCUUAGAUGCCUGAGAGUCCGAGGAAAAGGCAAAGGAAAUCUAAAUAGGAAUUGAGUAUCAGGACUUGGAUAAGCGUUUUAUAUAUGGAUGAUCUCAUUUCAAUUUUUCAAGAACCUAGCCAGUCUGACAUUGCACAUAUUUUUAUAAACACAGAAGUUGAAGUUUAAAGAGUGAUUUGCUCAGGGUGACAAAGGUAGUAAGUGGUGAAACUGGCCAGGAGUCCAGACUCCAAAUUCCAUGGCAACACAGAAAAACUCUUGAGAAUGGGGUUGCAGAUAGCCCCUGCUGUUUAGUCUGAGAGAGUGUAAUAGGCAUUGCUUAUUUCUGACCAACACCUUAUCCCCUGGGAUCCUACCCAUCUUCUCCUCCAUGUGAUUCCGUUAGAGCUGGAAAUUAUUGAUCCUUCUUUAAUCAUGCUUCAGGGUUGUCCAAGCCUAGUACUGCAUUCCUCCACCAAGUCUAAGAGGUCCAAAGGGUGGGCAUAAGAGCCAGCAUUCAUCUCUGAAAAAUGAUAAAUGGACUAUAGGACAAAGCUUCCUCUUUCUACUGAGUUUGCUAAGCUGGAACAAUGCAAUUCUGAAGCUGC
Long non-coding RNA from Equus asinus (donkey), 1591 nucleotides. The record is from Ensembl. NCBI's taxonomy places the organism in Eukaryota, Metazoa, Chordata, Mammalia, Perissodactyla, Equidae.